RNAcentral lists this ribosomal RNA (460 nucleotides) under uncultured bacterium. RNAcentral describes it as "partial 16S ribosomal RNA". It matches the Rfam family "Bacterial small subunit ribosomal RNA", at positions 338 to 795 of the family's 1533-position model. The record is from RNAcentral.
CCUACGGGAGGCAGCAGUGAGGAAUAUUGGUCAAUGGACGCAAGUCUGAACCAGCCAAGCCGCGUGCAGGAAGACGGCGCGAUGAGUUGUAAACUGCUUUUGUACGAGGGUAAACGCAGAUACGCGUAUCUGUUUGAAUGUACCGUACGAAUAAGGAUCGGCUAACUCCGUGCCAGCAGCCGCGGUACUACGGAGGAUUCAAGCGUUAUCCGGAUUUAUUGGGUUUAAAGGGUGCGUAGGCGGUCGGUUAAGUUAGAGGUGAAAUCCCGUGGCUCAACUUCGGAAUUGCUUCUGAUACUGUUCGGCUAGAGCGUAGUUGCGGUAGGCGGAAUGUGUGGUGUAGCGGUGAAAUGCUUAGAUAUCAUGCAGAACACCGAUUGCGAAGGCAGCUUACCAAGCUACUUCUGACGUUGAGGCACGAAAGCGUGGGCAGCAAACAGGAUUAGAUACCCCUGUAGUC